Coccinella septempunctata (seven-spotted ladybird) is the source of this 402-nucleotide long non-coding RNA. RefSeq lists it as uncharacterized. The record is from RefSeq and is a predicted model, not a curated record. The transcript is spliced from 2 exons. Lineage: Eukaryota; Metazoa; Arthropoda; Insecta; Coleoptera; Coccinellidae.
CAGAUUUUUAACGUGUGGGGGAUUUGCCUAUAAAAGCAGAUUUUCCCCCGCGGCGGGUCCUUCUUUCUCUUCGAUUCUUCAUGGUGAAUAACCUUUGAUUACCUGUGUUUGCGACGAGCCGUUCAACAAAUUUUUAGUUCGAGACGUUUUAUUAGAGUAUAUUUUGUUUUGCGAGAUUUAGUGCUUUUGAAAUAAAUUUUUAUUUUCGUUUUCCGCGAGUGCUUUGAAGUAAAGGAGGAUGAUCUUCCUGCAGCCAUCCGUCCUCAUCGCUCAGGAAACGUCUUUUAGAAAAUGUAUUUUGGUACGGUCUCAAGGCCCAUUCUACAUCAGCGGCUUCUGCGGUAUCCAAUGUGCCAAGCUUGAUUUCGAACAGUUUCAGUUGAAAGCGAGGUCCAACCUCUU